GUGAUUUGUUUAUGUUGAUGCGAUUGACUUUAUAUCAAUUGUGAUGAAAGUGCGGUAAAAAGGGAUUGCAAACAAAUUUCUUUUUGUUGUUGCGAAAGGAGGAAGAAGAAUGGUUCGGGUUGUUUCGAGGUGAAGUUGUGUACGUAUGAAAUCAAUCAUGGCGGCCAAUAUGGCGACGAGAAAACUGUAAUUCAGCCAAAAUGUUAAACUUUUAUUUAAAAACUGUUAACUUUAGUGACUGUUAAAUCAAAUAAAAAGUGAUUUUUAAAAAAAGUGAAAGAAUAUGCACAUGGAGAGGAUUUUAAUGAAUGAUGUCAAAUGAAAGAAGACGCCGGCAUGGAUUUAUCUCUCUUAGGAUUACGGAUUGUACGGAACCCUUUAGGGUUCUUCUUUAUGACGAUUUUAAUCCUUUUGUCAAUAAUUUGUUCAACAAGCGCAGAAAGCAGAGUC
Molecule: long non-coding RNA, 450 nt
Organism: Ctenocephalides felis (cat flea)
Lineage: Eukaryota; Metazoa; Arthropoda; Insecta; Siphonaptera; Pulicidae
Exons: 3
Source: RefSeq, a predicted model, not a curated record